AGAGUUUGAUCAUGGCUCAGAUUGAACGCUGGCGGCAGGCCUAACACAUGCAAGUCGAACGGUAACAGGAAGCAGCUUGCUGCUUCGCUGACGAGUGGCGGACGGGUGAGUAAUGUCUGGGAAGCUGCCUGAUGGAGGGGGAUAACUACUGGAAACGGUAGCUAAUACCGCAUAAUGUCGCAAGACCAAAGAGGGGGACCUUCGGGCCUCUUGCCAUCGGAUGUGCCCAGAUGGGAUUAGCUUGUUGGUGGGGUAACGGCUCACCAAGGCGACGAUCCCUAGCUGGUCUGAGAGGAUGACCAGCCACACUGGAACUGAGACACGGUCCAGACUCCUACGGGAGGCAGCAGUGGGGAAUAUUGCACAAUGGGCGCAAGCCUGAUGCAGCCAUGCCGCGUGUAUGAAGAAGGCCUUCGGGUUGUAAAGUACUUUCAGCGGGGAGGAAGGGAGUAAAGUUAAUACCUUUGCUCAUUGACGUUACCCGCAGAAGAAGCACCGGCUAACUCCGUGCCAGCAGCCGCGGUAAUACGGAGGGUGCGAGCGUUAAUCGGAAUUACUGGGCGUAAAGCGCACGCAGGCGGUUUGUUAAGUCAGAUGUGAAAUCCCCGGGCUCAACCUGGGAACUGCAUCUGAUACUGGCAAGCUUGAGUCUCGUAGAGGGGGGUAGAAUUCCAGGUGUAGCGGUGAAAUGCGUAGAGAUCUGGAGGAAUACCGGUGGCGAAGGCGGCCCCCUGGACGAAGACUGACGCUCAGGUGCGAAAGCGUGGGGAGCAAACAGGAUUAGAUACCCUGGUAGUCCACGCCGUAAACGAUGUCGACUUGGAGGUUGUGCCCUUGAGGCGUGGCUUCCGGAGCUAACGCGUUAAGUCGACCGCCUGGGGAGUACGGCCGCAAGGUUAAAACUCAAAUGAAUUGACGGGGGCCCGCACAAGCGGUGGAGCAUGUGGUUUAAUUCGAUGCAACGCGAAGAACCUUACCUGGUCUUGACAUCCACGGAAGUUUUCAGAGAUGAGAAUGUGCCUUCGGGUACCGUGAGACAGGUGCUGCAUGGCUGUCGUCAGCUCGUGUUGUGAAAUGUUGGGUUAAGUCCCGCAACGAGCGCAACCCUUAUCCUUUGUUGCCAGCGGUCCGGCCGGGAACUCAAAGGAGACUGCCAGUGAUAAACUGGAGGAAGGUGGGGAUGACGUCAAGUCAUCAUGCCCCUUACGACCAGGGCUACACACGUGCUACAAUGGCGCAUACAAAGAGAAGCGACCUCGCGAGAGCAAGCGGACCUCAUAAAGUGCGUCGUAGUCCGGAUUGGAGUCUGCAACUCGACUCCAUGAAGUCGGAAUCGCUAGUAAUCGUGGAUCAGAAUGCCACGGUGAAUACGUUCCCGGGCCUUGUACACACCGCCCGUCACACCAUGGGAGUGGGUUGCAAAAGAAGUAGGUAGCUUAACCUUCGGGAGGGCGCUUACCACUUUGUGAUUCAUGACUGGGGUGAAGUCGUAACAAGGUA
This 1500-nucleotide ribosomal RNA is filed under the name metagenome. RNAcentral describes it as "bacterial SSU rRNA". It matches the Rfam family "Bacterial small subunit ribosomal RNA". The record is from RNAcentral.